GGCCCGGACGGCCGGGUGCUGUGCCCGGUCCUGCGCCGCUACACGUGCCCCCUGUGCGGCGCCAGUGGCGACAACGCACACACCAUCAAGUAUUGCCCACUCUCCAAAGUGCCACCGCCCACCGUCCGCCCGCCGCCGCGCAGCACCAGAGACAACCUGCCAAGCAAGAAGCUGCGCUAGAAGCAGGCUGCAUCGAGCUGCGUACACCUGAAACCUGGACUCUUCUCCCGUGGCUCAACUUGGGAAGUCCUCUUGGUUUUAUGGAAGCCGCAGGGGCAUAGCACUUUCUUGUGGAGUGAUAGGUCUCUGACGUUGAAAUAUUGGAUUUUGUCCCUAGUUUCUAAAACGCGCAUCCAGAGUGGUGAGGGCUGAGCGGUUGUUCCACUGGCUGAAGUGCGGUGAAUGAGGCGCUGUUUACUGUAUACGUCAGCCUAUUUUAGGUGCGCAUCCGUAUGAAUUGUCUCUGAUCUUGGAUGUUUUCGUUUUAUGAAUGGAGGCACUUUAUUAGGUCUAGAGUAUUUUUAAUAGCCUCUGAACUGAGUGUAAAACAAUUGUAUGGAAUGUCGGCAAAAUGACUAUUUUAUUGUUUGAUGCAAUUAAUUUAUUUUAGUUUCUCAUUCUAAUUGCAGGUAAAGCAACUUAGUACACUUCCCAAUAUUGAGAGGAUGUUCCUCCUCGUGGCUUGUUUCUGUCCUAGAUGGGAGGCUUAAAGGCACAAUCUGUAGCAGGUAGAAUACAGUUCCUUAUCAUUUUAUGUAUCAGCUAUUCUACUGAAUUAGCAAGUAGUCCUUCCAACCCUUAAAAUUAACUGUGCCAAGGCUUAAUCAUAUCGUGUACAUAUUUGGAAAUGGUGCUGUUUAAGAGACGUGUAUUUAUACAGUGACAGUAUUAUGAAUCCAU
RNAcentral lists this long non-coding RNA (900 nucleotides) under Rattus norvegicus (Norway rat). RNAcentral's name for it is "long non-coding RNA NONRATT001912". Lineage: Eukaryota; Metazoa; Chordata; Mammalia; Rodentia; Muridae. The record is from RNAcentral.